GCGGAUCUCGAAAGCCUGUCCCAGUUCGGACUGGAGUCUGCAACCCGACUCCACGAAGUUGGAUUCGCUAGUAAUCGCGCAUCAGCCAUGGCGCGGUGAAUACGUUCCCGGGCCUUGUACACACCGCCCGUCAAGCCAUGGGAGGCCGGGGGCGCCUGAAGUCCGGGACCGCGAGGACCGGCCUAGGGCGAAACUGGUAACGUGGGGCUAAGUCGUAACAAGGUAUC
Molecule: ribosomal RNA, 227 nt
Filed under: uncultured bacterium
Lineage: Bacteria
Description: partial 16S ribosomal RNA
Rfam family: Bacterial small subunit ribosomal RNA
Source: RNAcentral